ACUCUGUCAAGGAGUACUGUGCUCGCCCUAUUCUUCUACUUUUCCCCCUGUGCACCUUUUGUAGGCUAUGAUAUCCAUCGUGUGUGAGUUCACGCUCAUUACCGGUUCAAGGGAUUGCUGUUUUAUUACGGCUGCUCUUGCCCUUCAUAUGCCUAUGUCUUUAUACACUCUUAAACAAGUCUAGAAUGUCUUUUGUGGGUCCAUUGACCUAUAAACUUAAUACAACUUUCAACAACGGAUCUCUUGGCUCUCGCAUCGAUGAAGAACGCAGCGAAAUGCGAUAAGUAAUGUGAAUUGCAGAAUUCAGUGAAUCAUCGAAUCUUUGAACGCACCUUGCGCCCUUUGGUAUUCCGAAGGGCAUGCCUGUUUGAGUGUCAUUAAAUUCUCAAACCUUGAUCAGUUUUGCACUGAUUCAAGGCUUUGGAUGUGGGAGUCUUUGCUGGUACUCUUUUGGAUCAGCUCUCCUCAAAUGCAUUAGCGGUUACUUGAUCCCCUUUCCUUGGUGUGAUAAUUAUCUACGCCUUUGAAAUGAUCAGCAGUGUAUCAGCUUCUAACAGUCCAUUGACUUGGACAACUUUAUUGACCAUUUGACCUCAAAUCAGGUAGGACUACCCGCUGAACUUAAGCAUAUCAAUAAGCGGAGGAGG
RNAcentral lists this ribosomal RNA (647 nucleotides) under uncultured Hydropus. RNAcentral describes it as "eukaryotic LSU rRNA". The stretch from base 224 to 377 matches the Rfam family "5.8S ribosomal RNA". Lineage: Eukaryota; Fungi; Basidiomycota; Agaricomycetes; Agaricales; Tricholomataceae. The record is from RNAcentral.